AAUAUUUUUCAUCAAAUGAAACUAUAAAACAGGCGAACUCUAAAGUUGGUCUGCUCUUCAUUUUCUUAUAAUCUGUAAUCAGGAAAUCCAUUCACUCGUGCUUUAUAAUUUUUGUGCUUUUAAGUGGUCAGGGGAAUGUGACAUCUGCAUGCAGCCCCAUCCAAAUUGAUCAUCGUCCCAGGCAGAGGGUAAUUUUCAAACGUAGCAUGAAGAGAGGUGGAAUCUAUAUCUCAGAAGUUUAUUGAAGGGUAGCAUUUCCCACCUCCCGACCCUGACUUUGAAAGAGACCAUUCCGUUGGGUGAAUU
This 306-nucleotide long non-coding RNA is filed under the name Bos taurus (domestic cattle). RNAcentral's name for it is "long non-coding RNA NONBTAT023725". Lineage: Eukaryota; Metazoa; Chordata; Mammalia; Artiodactyla; Bovidae. The record is from RNAcentral.